This is a long non-coding RNA of Dermochelys coriacea (leatherback sea turtle), 2100 nucleotides long. RefSeq lists it as uncharacterized. The transcript has 2 exons. Lineage: Eukaryota; Metazoa; Chordata; Testudines; Dermochelyidae. The record is from RefSeq and is a predicted model, not a curated record.
CAGAUGACUAUAUUUUUGACACUUCAAACAAGUGUCAAAAAGCCAGGUCCUGCCACAUGCUUCACUCCCAUUGCAUUCAGUGGGACUUCAGCAUCCCAGGAGCCAUGUGUCAUCCCAGGCACAUAACUGAUGGAGAAAAGGGAUCAGCACCAUCCUCCUAACAGUUUAGUAUUGUAGCUACACAAAAUACUAUGGCAAAAAUUGACACUGCGGUAUUCUAUGAAGCAACAAAAGGAAGGCUGCAAAUCCCUGCAGCUAUAUUGUGAAUAAGUUAAUGAAUUUAUACAAGGCUUUGCCAUUUAACCCCAUGAAAAGAACAGAAGUGCCAUUCAGAUGACCCAACAUCUUCAGGGUUUUUAAAUUCUGGUCACAGGACUGGUGAUCAAAUGCUGUGCGAUAGUGAGAGGACAAAGUGCUGUUGCUUCGUUCAAUUUUUACAUUGUAUCUCCUAAGCUGAAAGGCUGUCAAGGGCACCUAGAGCUUUGGAAGGAUGCCCUUCAGCACAGAGUUUCUGCAAGACCAGAAAUCAUUACGAUGUCCUUGCUACAAAAGUUUGAAAUCAAAAUACAUUAGUGAAUAUUUUAAAUUAGGGGCAGAUUCAAACUCCACUGUUCUUAAGCCUUAAACAAACCCUCUCAACUUUAAAGAUUAACUACUGAAGGUAAAGUAAAUUCAUAGCACCCAAAUGAGGCUGUAUAUGUUUAUUUAUCGUCAGUAAUUUUUUUUAAACACAAGGCAAAUAUUAAUAGCUGAAAGGUAACACUUGCAGAGUAUGUACAGAGCAAUGUACAGCUGAAUGUAAGAGGCUUUAAUCUAUUAGUAAUUUAACCAUUUUAUAAAAGCAAGUGAUGCUUUUCUCUUUAAGACCUUCUUUAGAAAUAAUUUAUUGCCAAUUCUGAACUAAAGCAAGGAGAGCAAUGUACAAUAUAAAAAGGCUGUUAGCCCCAGGAAAGUUAUAAAAGAUACACAUAUAAAAACUGUAAGCCACAAACAUUUAUACAAAGCUAAUACAAAUCUUGAUUGUUAGAUACAGAAUCUAUUAUGUUGUUACAAAAUAUUUUUCAUAAGGCUUCAUGGAAGGUAAACUCUCACUGCUAUUGAAAGCACAGGAAAGCAGUUUUAAAUAUUCUGCAAUUCAAUUAUUUGUUUUCAAGUUCAAGGCAAAGAAAUUGCAAAUGGCACUGUAUUGCAAUGCUGUGUAAUUUAAAAAAAAACCCUUAGAUUCAUCUACAUCGUGGUACCAUCAAAUACAGAAAGACCUGAAAAGUCAUCUUGUGACUAAUUUAGCAUGAAACACUGAUUAUUCUGAAACAGGAAAUGUUGCUGUUGGAAAACAACUUCUGCAACCAUCUUUAAAGAUAGUGCCUAGAGAUUCUUGACUAGCGUGGCAAUCAGCAGGAAAGUUAAAGGGGUGCACAACUAUUGCAGUCUUCAAGUGGCAACUUGCUUAUAAACUCACAGGGCCAUAUCCCAAACAGUGCUGUGUUCAGAACUAUCAGGUGUUUUUUGCUUGUUUUAGUUUUACAUACAUUAACAGCAGGAUAGAUUAAAAGACCAUUAGUUUCAAAGUUUCUGCUGAAGUUAUGUGGAGUUCAAAAUACUGACUCAGUAUUAGCCAAGAGUCAGGAAAUACUACAGACAUGCUCAAAGCAUUUUAGGUUUGCUAGAAUCCUGGAUGGCAGGAUUAAAAAAAACCCUUUACCAGACACUUAUUAGCCAAAGGACUAAGCCUAUUAGCCAGAGGCCUCUCUGGAAAGAUAAGGGGGACUCCUCUCUAGGGGACAGAAUUUUUAAAUGAGAGAUUACAUUCUGCAGGAACUGAUGGCUUAUUCCACCUCAGGAAUGUGGGGACCUACUCCAUUGGUAAGUGGAUUUUUUUCAAGACCUGGUGAACAGCCACCAUUUGUUUUCAGGUACCAAACAAAUUUAAACAAUGCAGCAAGGAAUGUUUGCUAAAUGCCAUUUUCACCUUCAAGUACAGACCGUACAAGAUAGUGGUAUACAGAAAUCAUAGCUCAAUGCAGUUACUGAUCAUUCAGUGCAGCAGUGUGUAGCCAAUGAUCCUUGGAAAAUUAGUGCUGUUAAAAGUAGCUUUUUUUU